CUUGCUUCUCUUGAGAGCGGCGGACGGGUGAGUAAUGCCUAGGAAUCUGCCUGGUAGUGGGGGAUAACGUUCGGAAACGGACGCUAAUACCGCAUACGUCCUACGGGAGAAAGCAGGGGACCUUCGGGCCUUGCGCUAUCAGAUGAGCCUAGGUCGGAUUAGCUAGUUGGUGGGGUAAUGGCUCACCAAGGCUACGAUCCGUAACUGGUCUGAGAGGAUGAUCAGUCACACUGGAACUGAGACACGGUCCAGACUCCUACGGGAGGCAGCAGUGGGGAAUAUUGGACAAUGGGCGAAAGCCUGAUCCAGCCAUGCCGCGUGUGUGAAGAAGGUCUUCGGAUUGUAAAGCACUUUAAGUUGGGAGGAAGGGUUGUAGAUUAAUACUCUGCAAUUUUGACGUUACCGACAGAAUAAGCACCGGCUAACUCUGUGCCAGCAGCCGCGGUAAUACAGAGGGUGCAAGCGUUAAUCGGAAUUACUGGGCGUAAAGCGCGCGUAGGUGGUUUGUUAAGUUGGAUGUGAAAUCCCCGGGCUCAACCUGGGAACUGCAUUCAAAACUGACUGACUAGAGUAUGGUAGAGGGUGGUGGAAUUUCCUGUGUAGCGGUGAAAUGCGUAGAUAUAGGAAGGAACACCAGUGGCGAAG
RNAcentral lists this ribosomal RNA (645 nucleotides) under uncultured bacterium. RNAcentral's name for it is "bacterial SSU rRNA". It matches the Rfam family "Bacterial small subunit ribosomal RNA", at positions 79 to 720 of the family's 1533-position model. The record is from RNAcentral.